CUGCUUUUUAGACCUGAAUCCAAGCCUCAUUUUUUUGGGCCACAUGUACUCAAGAAAUGAAUGGUACAAAUGCAUAGCAUGGACAAAAGAACAGACUGAAAGCAGAGCAUAUAAAGAAGGUUUCUAUUACUGGUAUUUGGAAGCUGGGCCAAAUCAUACGUGCUGUGGAGAUCCUUGUACAACUUGGAGCUAUGUUUUGGAGUCUUGCAUUCUUGCAAAAGGUAUCCUUCCGGAACCCCAAAGUGGAUAUUUACUUGACAUGUAUUUCUUAUGCAAUGAGAGUGUGGUCAUAUCCAGAUCAUCUAAUAUAGAAGAACCCACAUGGAGCUACUUUUGGUAGACUGGAGCAGUGGUGCAGGUCUUCUUUCUUUGGCCCCAAGCAAAUUAUGAGCAAGGACUCUGAGAGAUAUUUAAAAGAAGAAAAAAAAGAUGCAUUAUCAAGAGCUAACCACACUUUUCCAGUGCACCUCUGUUUCUUGCAGUUACUAGUCUUUUCUUCUGCCCCUACAUUCUCACAACAAUAAAGCAAGCUUGACAGUUAAUCA
Molecule: long non-coding RNA, 545 nt
Filed under: Monodelphis domestica (gray short-tailed opossum)
Lineage: Eukaryota; Metazoa; Chordata; Mammalia; Didelphimorphia; Didelphidae
Description: lncRNA (ENSMODG00000041293.1)
Source: RNAcentral